UUUUAUGGAGAGUUUGAUCCUGGCUCAGAGUGAACGCUGGCGGCGUGCCUAAUACAUGCAAGUCGAACGAUGAAGCUUCUAGCUUGCUAGAAUGCUGAUUAGUGGCGCACGGGUGAGUAACGCAUAGGUCAUGUGCCUCUUAGUUUGGGAUAGCCAUUGGAAACGAUGAUUAAUACCAGAUACUCCCUACGGGGGAAAGAUUUAUCGCUAAGAGAUCAGCCUAUGUCCUAUCAGCUUGUUGGUAAGGUAAUGGCUUACCAAGGCUAUGACGGGUAUCCGGCCUGAGAGGGUGAACGGACACACUGGAACUGAGACACGGUCCAGACUCCUACGGGAGGCAGCAGUAGGGAAUAUUGCUCAAUGGGGGAAACCCUGAAGCAGCAACGCCGCGUGGAGGAUGAAGGUUUUAGGAUUGUAAACUCCUUUUGUUAGAGAAGAUAAUGACGGUAUCUAACGAAUAAGCACCGGCUAACUCCGUGCCAGCAGCCGCGGUAAUACGGAGGGUGCAAGCGUUACUCGGAAUCACUGGGCGUAAAGAGCGCGUAGGCGGGAUAGUCAGUCAGGUGUGAAAUCCUAUGGCUUAACCAUAGAACUGCAUUUGAAACUACUAUUCUAGAGUGUGGGAGAGGUAGGUGGAAUUCUUGGUGUAGGGGUAAAAUCCGUAGAGAUCAAGAGGAAUACUCAUUGCGAAGGCGACCUGCUGGAACAUUACUGACGCUGAUUGCACGAAAGCGUGGGGAGCAAACAGGAUUAGAUACCCUGGUAGUCCACGCCCUAAACGAUGGAUGCUAGUUGUUGGAGGGCUUAGUCUCUCCAGUAAUGCAGCUAACGCAUUAAGCAUCCCGCCUGGGGAGUACGGUCGCAAGAUUAAAACUCAAAGGAAUAGACGGGGACCCGCACAAGCGGUGGAGCAUGUGGUUUAAUUCGAAGAUACACGAAGAACCUUACCUAGGCUUGACAUUGAGAGAAUCCGCUAGAAAUAGUGGAGUGUCUGGCUUGCCAGACCUUGAAAACAGGUGCUGCACGGCUGUCGUCAGCUCGUGUCGUGAGAUGUUGGGUUAAGUCCCGCAACGAGCGCAACCCCCUUUCUUAGUUGCUAACAGGUUAUGCUGAGAACUCUAGGGAUACUGCCUCCGUAAGGAGGAGGAAGGUGGGGACGACGUCAAGUCAUCAUGGCCCUUACGCCUAGGGCUACACACGUGCUACAAUGGGGUGCACAAAGAGAAGCAAUACUGCGAAGUGGAGCCAAUCUUCAAAACACCUCUCAGUUCGGAUUGUAGGCUGCAACUCGCCUGCAUGAAGCUGGAAUCGCUAGUAAUCGCAAAUCAGCCAUGUUGCGGUGAAUACGUUCCCGGGUCUUGUACUCACCGCCCGUCACACCAUGGGAGUUGUGUUUGCCUUAAGUCAGGAUGCUAAAUUGGCUACUGCCCACGGCACACACAGCGACUGGGGUGAAGUCGUAACAAGGUAACCGUAGGUGAACCUGCGGUUGGAUCACCUCCUUUCUAGA
RNAcentral lists this ribosomal RNA (1510 nucleotides) under Helicobacter pylori. RNAcentral's name for it is "bacterial SSU rRNA". It matches the Rfam family "Bacterial small subunit ribosomal RNA". Lineage: Bacteria; Pseudomonadati; Campylobacterota; Epsilonproteobacteria; Campylobacterales; Helicobacteraceae. The record is from RNAcentral.